AGUCCCGUGGUGAAUUUCACAUUGAAU
Molecule: transfer RNA, 27 nt
Filed under: Equus sp.
Lineage: Eukaryota; Metazoa; Chordata; Mammalia; Perissodactyla; Equidae
Description: partial tRNA-Cys
Source: RNAcentral